Molecule: ribosomal RNA, 253 nt
Filed under: uncultured bacterium
Lineage: Bacteria
Description: partial 16S ribosomal RNA
Rfam family: Bacterial small subunit ribosomal RNA
Source: RNAcentral
UACGUAGGGGGCAAGCGUUGUUCGGAAUUACUGGGCGUAAAGGGCGCGUAGGCGGCCUUCUAAGUCAGACGUGAAAUCCCCCGGCUUAACCUGGGAACUGCGUCUGAUACUGGAAGGCUUGAGUGCGGGAGAGGGAUGUGGAAUUCCAGGUGUAGCGGUGAAAUGCGUAGAUAUCUGGAGGAAUACCGGUGGCGAAGGCGGCAUCCUGGACCGACAUUGACGCUGAGGAGCGAAAGCUAGGGGAGCAAACGGG